RNAcentral lists this ribosomal RNA (254 nucleotides) under uncultured bacterium. RNAcentral describes it as "partial 16S ribosomal RNA". It matches the Rfam family "Bacterial small subunit ribosomal RNA", at positions 524 to 776 of the family's 1533-position model. The record is from RNAcentral.
UACGUAGGGUGCGAGCGUUGUCCGGAAUUAUUGGGCGUAAAGAGCUCGUAGGCGGUGUGUCACGUCGGCCGUGAAAACCUGCAGCUUAACUGUGGGCGUGCGGUCGAUACGGGCAUCACUGGAGUUCGGCAGGGGAGACUGGAAUUCCUGGUGUAGCGGUGAAAUGCGCAGAUAUCAGGAGGAACACCGGUGGCGAAGGCGGCACUCUGGGACGGUACUGACGCUGAGACGCGAAAGCGUGGGGAGCAAACAGG